Non-coding RNA from Dipodomys ordii (Ord's kangaroo rat), 65 nucleotides. The record is from Rfam. NCBI's taxonomy places the organism in Eukaryota, Metazoa, Chordata, Mammalia, Rodentia, Heteromyidae.
GGUGGCUCAGUGGUAGAGUGCUUGCCUUGCAUGCAUGAGGCCCUAGGUUCAAUUCCUCAGCACCA